AUGGACGGAGUUCGAGCCCCGCCCGUCCCGCUCGCCGUGGCGGUCCCUCCUCGUCGCCACCCCUCUCCUCGACUCGGCGGGACGAGGGGAGCAGGGGCAGCAGCCAGCCAUGCCUCGUCCGUCUCGCAUGGUGGCCCAAAUACGGCUUCCUCGUGCUCUGUCGGCGCCCGUCGACCUCGAUCCAGCUGGGGCAGGAGGAGCUCGAGCCGAGGAGCGUGGCCUCGAUCCGGAAUCGACGAAAGGAGGGGAGCAGCAGCCAUCACGCCUCGUCACAAAUCAUUCCCCGUCUCUUCUGUUUGCACCUCCCCCCGCUGCCGCCGGGGACACCUCUGCAUCAUCGUCGACGGAAUGAAGGGAGCAACGGCCACAACCGCCUGCUGCAGCGGUGCUGAGCGGCUGCGGACCUACAGCGAAACGGUGCUGGAUCCAUAUGUACUCCUCUGCCAGUCUUCUUCACGCCGCAAUUUACUCCUCCUUGCUGCACCUGAUGCUGGAGCCCAGAAGCCAGAUGCCACCGUCGAUGACGACUCCUACUACACUGGAGGUGCCUACUACUACGUGCAGGCCGCUGACGACGACCAGGAGUAG
Molecule: ribosomal RNA, 588 nt
Filed under: Triticum aestivum (bread wheat)
Lineage: Eukaryota; Viridiplantae; Streptophyta; Magnoliopsida; Poales; Poaceae
Description: partial small subunit ribosomal RNA
Source: RNAcentral